Molecule: long non-coding RNA, 982 nt
Organism: Cynara cardunculus var. scolymus (artichoke)
Lineage: Eukaryota; Viridiplantae; Streptophyta; Magnoliopsida; Asterales; Asteraceae
Exons: 4
Source: RefSeq, a predicted model, not a curated record
UGUAAGAAAUGUUGCUCAAUCAACAGAAGCCCUAGAUCAUCACCAUCGCUCGUCUAUCAUCGAAUGUUAUUGAUCUUCUCUUCUCUGCAUCGAUUGCUCGAACAACAGAUAAAUUUUGAUGUCGACUUGUCUUUGAAGAUUGUGGUUGAUGUGAUUGACCUCCAAAUGGGUCGAUCUUUCAAAAAUCACCGAGCAAAGCUGCAAGAGCAUUUUUUAAAAUGCCAUGGCCAGGAGGACGUGGAAAGAGCCAAAGGAAUGAAGCCAACUGACUCGAAUGUUACAAAUGAUGCUUGGCAUAUACUUUGCGAUUACUGGAGUUCAGAGAAGUUUCAUGCUAUGUCAAGGAAAUAUUCUGAGAACAGGGGAAGCGAAAGUAUGUUGCUUUAAACGGUACAGUGAGCACUCCAAAUCACCAUUUUCGAAAUAGAGGAUUGUCGGACAAUCCUCUUAUGGGUGAGAUAGAGACUUUUUGAAAGUUGCAUUAUAGAGAAAAAGAGGGUUGGGUUAAUGACUAUUCUCGCACUUCAUUUGAGAACAGGUAGAGAUUAAGCGGCAAACUGAAUCAACAGAAAAUCAUCCGGGUGAUCUAGAGAUUAUGCAACAAGUCUUAGGCAAAAGACCUGCAAAUAUUCGGGGAUGAUCUAGGUCCCGAGCACUAGGAGCGAUUCUACGAGUUCGCGACAUAGCACCGGUGCGUCAGGUUGAUUGAGCCACACCGAGAUGUCUAAUUUGCUUCAACAGAGUCUGAACUUGCUUCAACCAAAUCAGAGCUCUUUCUUAUGAAGGAUGAAGUCGUUGAGUUGCGACAAAUGGUGAGGUCAAUUGUAUCCAGCCGGUUAGUUCCAAGUUUUUCAUCUUCAUUAAUUGUUCAAGACCAACGUUCGGAGAUUCAAGAUCGUUCAACAUGCUAUGAUGAUUUUGAAUGUUUUUUUGUUGAUAAAUUUAGACGAUAUAUGAACUAGUUGAAUAUUAAAUUUAGAUG